UACGGAGGAUGCAAGCGUUAUCCUGAAUUAUUUGGCGUAAAGCGUCUGUAGGCGGAUGUUCAAGUCUGCUGUCAAAGACCGGGGCUUAACCCUGGAAAGGCAGUGGAAACUGAAGAUCUAGAGUGUGGUAGGGGCAGAGGGAAUUCCCAGUGUAGCGGUGAAAUGCGUAGAGAUUGGGAAGAACACCGAUGGCGAAAGCGAUCUGCUAGGCCAAAACUGACACUAAGGUACGAAAGCGAGGGGAGCGAAUGGG
RNAcentral lists this ribosomal RNA (253 nucleotides) under uncultured bacterium. Its description in RNAcentral is "partial 16S ribosomal RNA". It matches the Rfam family "Bacterial small subunit ribosomal RNA", at positions 524 to 776 of the family's 1533-position model. The record is from RNAcentral.